CAGUUGACCUUACUAAGAAGCUAUGUUAACAAUUUAGACUUAUAAUCUUCUGCCGUUACAUUUUGUUAACUUUUUUUUUUUUUUUAAAGCAAAAUUCAUUAUCUCCUUUGGUACCCUGCAGGUUAAACCUAUUGAUUUCUCUCUAACUUAUUUUGUAAGAUUUCUAAAUUAUAUUUAAACUUUUUGUACUUAAAAGUUUGUUUUUCCAGUGUCUCCUUGAAAAGAGAUUUUUUUUGUCUCCGUUGCUCUCUUUGUACUUGGUCUGCAGAGGCCAUGUGCCUUCACAGCACUUUCCUUAGGAGAAAAUCCCAAACUCUCCAUCUGCAGAGUCCUGCAAGUACAUUUGAACUCUUUGAUUUGGCACUAUCAUGUCUUUGUGGCUCAUCAGGUUUGAAGAUGAUGUCCAGGGAAAAUAUUUUGGAUCCUGCCUUUACCAAACAGUAGCAGCCUCCUGGUAAACUGGAUUCAGCCUCCCUGGGUUUAACCUUUGUUCCCUGGCUCUGUGUAGCAAUGGCCAGCACCGGGCCUGCUUAUUAACAAAACCAGCACAUCCUAACACAGCAACAAUAGCGAAAUGCCCCAGGGGAGAGGAGAGCUGCACCCUGUGACCCUUUAGGCUCUGGAGCCCUAAAUAGAGGUGCUUGUGCUCUCUACUGCUGCUUGAGCAAAAAAACGUGUCAGUAGUAGAACCCCAUAAUGUAGAAUAGUUUCCAAAAUGCCCAAGGUAUAACCCUCCCAGCUCUGUGAUCCCCGGCAGCGCAUGUUUAUUGUGGAUGCUGCCUCCCAGUCACCUCUCAUCUAAAAGCUACAGCUGUGACUCUGCCAGUAAAUAAAACAGGGACAGGGGUUCUGGGGCCUGAGGCCAAGUGGCAUGGACUGGCCAUAUGGGCAUGGUAUGACCUGUGAGCCUCCGGCACGAUCGUUAUUUUGAGCAGGUUUAUAUAUUUUCAGUCUGCAGUGCGGAAAUAAGGAGGGGGCUGUGCUGCAGCGGCCCCGAGAGUCAGCAGGUACGGGCUGUCUCUCCGCCAAAGCGGGACCGAGUUGCGACUUGCAGCUGCAAGCACAGGGCGAGACAGUAUGGGCGUUUUCACAUUUCAGUGUUUCCUCAGUUGCUAUUCAUUCUUCACGCUAUUGCAACAGUUGCUUAGACUUCAUACAGCGAGAGCAAGAUAUUGACAGCUGCCUUCCUGUUGUAAAGCCAACACAGAGCGUGAGAGAAGCCCAGUAUGGAUCCCAGAGACAGAAGGCAGUUUUUUAUUCUUUAAUCUCUAGCUUUGCAGAGCAGAGCCGGUGUGAACGCAACAGGAAAGACUUUUGCCAUCUGAACCUCACCAUUGCCUUGGCACACGCUUGGCCACCAUCGGCGCUGGCCCAGCAGCAGCACAGCUUUCCCGGGCAGCACUCGGGCUGGCACAAAUGAGCUCGGAGGGAAAGGGUCCCCACCAGAUCCCUCCCACUGGCACGGCCGCAGCACCUGACAGAUCUCCCUGGGGCAACUGAAGCCUCUGGAGCAUCACACGAACCCACAGCUGAACCUGAGCUAAAAUCCUGUCCAAGAAAGAGGAAGGCUGCUGUGAGGCAAACUGAAUGAACCUCUGAAGAAAUGCCAGUGUGACUGGGAUUGACAGCGUGCCUGGGUGAGACCCACACAGCCAGCCUGUUGGACCAUACAGCCCUGUCAUCUUACGUGGCCUCAGGCAAGGAAAACUGAAGUGGCAAUGAACUUGUCUGACUUCUGGUUAAAGGCUGAACUGCCUGGCUUCCUUUGGCUGGCUGGGAGGCUUCAUUUCAAGGAGUUCCUAUGAGGAUAAUCUCAUUCCAUCUGUUCCGAAGUAUCCUGGCAAUGAUGAAACACAAAAGAAUGAGGAAGUGGGUGUUAAGGCAGAAUAAAUGGGAGAGACUGUGGCCAGAAGAAAGCAUCGCAACCCAAUGGGGAGAUUGUGGAGCAUUAUGUAUCCUUGAAGAGCUCCUUUCACGUUGCUUUCUUCCACAUGCUGUUGUAUUGCCUAAUAUAAACUCAAAAGAGCUCCUCUUUGCAAGGUGCAAAUUGAACAGAAAACCAGCAUGUGAAACAGAAGUGAAUUUCCCUUCCUGAAUCUUGCAGAUAAGUUGGAUUGUCUUUUGAUUCAAAAAACACGUACAAAGAAAAUGUUCAGCUGGAGGUCUAUUUGCCAGCUCCUUACAAUUUUUCUUCAAGCAGAGGAUUAGCUCUAGUUAAUGCCUGCAAAAAUUAACCUCUGUUUACUCACUAUGCUAAGAAAGACCAUUAUCAAAAAGACAUACAAACCUAAAUUUGGAUAUUUCUGAAAUAGAACCAACUGGAUAAUAUGAGAAGCAACCACCACUACCAGCAUGCUAUAUAUGCACAACAACACCCUUUCAAGUUUUACACAGUCUGGAAUAGUGGCAGCAGGCCAGCACAUUACCCCCUAAUCCAUUCCAAACCCAGGUUUCUAAAUUUAUAAAUAUUCAUAUAUGCCAUAGAAAACUACUAAGGGCUUUAGUCACACACUUUUUGCAUAAUCUUUAUGUUCCAAAAAUGAAUGUUUGCCCUUUUUUUGCAUAAGGAUCAGAGUGUGCAUUCCCUUUUGUUCAUCUCCACAAAACCCAAAAAGCAAUAUGUGCAGAUUCUCUAAUCCUCAUUUCACACCUGAAAGGUGAAGAGGCUUGACAAAAAGAAGCAUCAGUGGCCAGCAUCAUGGCACUGGCUUGUGCUGCUAUGGCAGGUCAGCCCUUCCAGAGCUGUUUCAUGACUUCUGCUCCCUCUGCAGGUGCCAUUUCUGUGACAUGCUGGGUAGUGGGACAUGGAGAUGAUGCCAUGGAAAGUGAUCUUUACUCAGGCUGCCUGAUGAUUUGAGAAAUGGUGCUGAUAAAGUUCCCAAAUAACUGUAUCUUCCCUCUGUCUCUGAAUACAAAAUUCUGUACUGGCAGUCAGAAUUCAGGAUUAUGCAGCUGAGGUUUGAAAAAGGUGUAAAUCAGUAAGUGGUCAAGAGUAUGAAAUAUUGCCUGUCCUUAAGGAGAGUCAUGCUCAGUACUUUUUAAACUUUCUCUUCUCUCCCUGGCAAGACAUAAUUCUAGGAAAGGGCUUUUAAAUUUUUUUCUAAAUAUAUAGCUAUAAAAGCAGUGUCACUUUAAUGUUAUAUAUUGCUGAGUACUGUGCUGCAGGUUGUAAGUUGUCCUGUAUCUGCUAAAUCAUACAGAGGUUAUAGGAACUAAUACAACUGACAGCUUUGGGAGCUCUCCUCCACCUGACAAGAAGGUCAUCAAUGGACCUAAAAGGCAAGUGUGUAUUCUGGAUCACCAACUAAUUGCGUUUGCUGUCUACUGACAUCUUUUUUAUCUUUCACCUACUUGCAGCUCUCAAAAUGUCCUCAACCUGCCAAACUACAACUACAGCAUUUUAAAAGCUUUACAAGCCUAUUCAUUCCUUCUUCCUCUAUGACAAGUAUAUCUUCAGUUUUUACAUAGAUGGGUCUUCUAAAGCAACACUUAUAACUAACAUCUGCUGUCACCUCACUUGUGGAGAAAAGAUGCAGGUAGUUUUUACCACACAAGGUCAUGUACCUUGUCUCCAUCAGCUUCUUACAGUGCGACAAGUAAAAGACCUUCAAUACUUCUCUAAAAUCAUGUCUUGUUUGGUAUUGAAGACAAAGCAUUCUACAAAAGACGUAGAGUACUAAUACCAGUAAUUCAGUUAUACUGACAAAAGCAUAAAUAACAUGUUCCAGACUGGAUUUUAAGACCAAAGCUUGUUUCCUCCAACCCCCCCUUACUUCAUGCAAUAAAUGGCAUAGUAAAGAGCACAAGUACAGUGCAAAAUGAAGAGUAUACCUAUUUCUGACACAUUUGUUUGCCCACAUCUUGUACAAACCAAAUGAGUCUGCUUAUAAACUUGCCUCUUCACACACAGCUGUGGCUCUGCCACACAUGGUGUUCUCCUCCCUGGCCAGAUGCCCCUGCUCUCCUCCCAAUCGGAGGCAUCCGUAGGGAUCGGGAGAUGGGGAAGAAGGAGCAGACAGUUACAAAGGCAGCAGCAGGCAAAGGUCAGCAAUGCUCUGCAGAGUGAUGUCCCCCCACACUGCCACCACCACGUUUCUGUCACUACACCUCUACAAAGACUGAUUUACAGGAAAGUAUAGCAGGAAAAAAAUUACUCUGUCCCUUUCCUUUUUAGCUUCCCUUGCUAAAAAAACCCUAUGCUAAUGUGAUUUAACACCAUCUGUCUGCUUUUCCCUUUUUCUCCAGAUGAUUUUGUCCAAUUUGAAAAAAAGAACCCAGAGUUUUCAAACAUAAGAAAGCUCCUAGCAAUUUUCUGUGAAAAUAGAUGGCUGUGGACAAGAGAAAGAUUGUGUAAGUGCCCUCUUCUCCUGUCUCCUUCGGGGAAAAGGCUGUAGUGCGAGUUCCUAUGUUAUGACAAAAGCCUAUUCACACAGAAUUCCCCAGCCAUGAAGAAAGCACACGUGGCCCAGCCACAAGGAAAGCUCUGAGCAGAGCUCAGGCAGCCAUGAAACACAAACGUUUGGGAACCCAGGCCCUGCUGUUUCUGGCACUUGGGAACUUCUGGCUCAGACACUGUCUGACAGCUCCUGCCUGUUUUAAGAUGCAUUGUUUAAAAUAAAUAAUAACAGAAACAUCAGAAAACAUAAAAGAUGUAAAGGUAGCUGUUUCAGCUUGAAAAGAUGCCGCUAGAUCAAACUUCUGCUUUUGGCUGCCAGUUACAGGAAUAAAGUUGUCAGCAGCACAUCAGCUGUCGGGAUCAGAGCUCUGUGGUGAGAAUGCAGACACGAUGCCAGAGGCUGUUCUCGGUUUCAUCACUGUGCUCACACGAGAGGCAGAGGGACCAAUCUCCUCCAGCAGCAAAUGGCACCACCAGCAGCAACUACCCAGAUAUUUUUAUUCAUAAACUUCAGCAAGCAUCAAAAUUAGGCUGGAUCAAGGGAAAUAAUUUUCCAAGGAAUGAAGAUGUUUUAGAUUAGUAAGACUGGCUCCCAGAGGUACCAGAGAUACCUCUUCAGAGGUAUCUCCACCUGCUCAUGACAGAACAUCCUGCUGCAGAACGAACAGACAGAAACAACAAAUGGCAGGACAUGAUUCCUGUAAGGAAAUCUGGUUUCUGCUUUUUGCCUGAAAAUGGCAGAAUAAUAUCACAGGUUUACCUUGAGUUUAUACUUAUGUAAAAGAGAGCUGAAUUUAUCUGAGUGUUAUCUGGCUGAGUGGUCUUGUCUUCACUAGUUAAUAUCUGGCAAUUAUGUGUGGAUAUGACAGUUGUAAGCUUAACACAAGUAGGCGGAAGCGACUGAGGUUUAACAGUAGGCUUUUCUUCUUUGCUUGACCUGAUGACACAUGCAAAAAGCUAAAAAUUGCCAGGUCCACAUUAGGAAUUGAGUGAAUUAUGUGGGUGGAAUCUGAAUACAUGUUGCUUUGAAGAGAAAUGGGUUGAGAAAAGCAGUAAAAAUACCAUAGAAGCAUGCAGAAUAGCUAGUGAAGAACAUUAAAAACAGAAAAGAUAUACUUGUAGUAAGGCCUGGAGGAAAAAUGGAAUAAGCUUUUAGGUAGAGCACCACCAGAAGAAAGGUUUAGCAUACUGAGUGAUGAAAACAUUUCCGUUUCCAUUCUGUGGAGGAACAUGAGACAGAUUGAUUCUUUGAAAAAGACAUAGCAUCAAAAAUACAUUAAUUGAUCUUCACUUUCCCCUCCUAAAGGAAAUUCCCAAAGCUCAGAUUACUGAUCAAAAUGGAUGAUACUACAUUUACGUCAUAUAAAAUUUUAUUUAAAACUUCUGGUUGCUACUAGUUAUCUCCACAUUCUGGAGAUAACAUACUUCCGAAGAUAAGGCAAUGUGCAGACUAGGGUGAAAAGGGCAGACCUGCAGCAGCCUAGAUACAGAUCAGUGUAAGCUGCUGGAAAAUUCACUCUUGGCCUUGGGAGUGCCAAACUGUGGUACACAAUGGUGCAGAACCAUUUCUAAAUGACAAGCCUGGGUUGAAUUUCUGUCUAUGGGCAAGUGCUCACAAGAAAGGUCCUGCCUCCUGUAAUGACUUUUACACAUAAUCAGGCACAAAUAGCAGCCUGAGGCCUGCAGAUGUACUGGCUCUUCAGGAAGCGUAAGAAGCCAAGUGAGGUGGAGAACACAGAGCCAGCCUCAGAGCCAUGGCUAUAGCUAUGCAGCUGCCAUCCCUCCUGGUUUGGAGGUGCUCCAGCCAAGUCCAAAAUCCUUUGUGUUUCCCAAAACAUUUACUGUCUACACUAAAAUAUAUAUAUUUAUCUAUCUAAUUAGAACAGGCAGUCCAGGAAAAAGUCCUUUUCUGCAGGUAGAAGGCUCAAGGCCUUUGGAAGGAGAUGGCAACGCAGUCUGUGUAUGCAAUUACAGAACGUCAUUAUCGCAAAGUGAGGUCAGGCCCUUAGUUGGGCAUUAGCACUACCAUUCACCCACAAAAAAGCCUGAUCUUAGUAGAGAAGUAUUUUCACCCUAAGACAGAGGCUGUCCUGGAGUUACAGACUAAUUCCCUUGGAGUGAUGAUUGCUUUGCUGUGAAGUUCUCUAAAGGGCUGAAAGUCCUCCCUUUUUCCCCUCUGUGGUAUCAGUGCUCAAGAGGUAAGACACACUCCUCAGGAGUGCAGUGAAAAUAACCACGGAGAGGUUCUGGUUACUGUAGUACUAAGAACAAGCAGAUACAGGUGCCGGAGCACAUAUGCUCUAGCAUGGCUGCUGAAUGGAGCUUUCCUGCAGGAACAGUAGGUCUGGUUUGGUUUUGCAGUGCAGCUGCCCAUAGCUGGGUUUGGCCAACCUUGGUCUCAGACGCAGGUGUCAUUAACCACAUUAUUUAAGAACAUGGCUUUAGCAACCAAGAAAAUGGCUUCUCACUGUUGAGAUUUCUGUCAUGGGAAGUUGCCUGCCUGUAAUUUUUGACAAUGGUGUUUGAAAUUAGGAGAGCUUAGGUGCAGGACUUAAAUAGAAUUUGAGCAUAAUCUGGCCGCCUGUCAUUGAUCCCCCUUUCCAAUAUGAAAGCAAUCAAGUCAGAGAAGUCUCUUUUUGCUUGUCAAAGGAAAGAAGAAAAUAAGGUGUUGUGCAUGUUCUGCUCCUUUCAUUCUCUGAGGAGCAAUGCAGAACUAUCCCGGUCUGAGGCCAUUCAGUCCUGUUUGAAGGAACAGCAGUUAAAAUCACAGCUUGGUCCCAAACUAGCUGUUACUGACCCUGUCUAACAGCUCUGCUUCUUGUCACUGCUGCUGCCUCUCCUAGGAAACAUUCUGGCUGUGCACGGCUCAGCGGGCAGCUUUCUCUGCACCUCUCUGAGGUUUUCCAGAAACCCAGAGGUCCCACGGGCUGUGCACAACACAGACUACUUUUGCCAGCUCUUGGUCCUGCCCUGGAAGUCAUUGUAGAGAAGUUCACUCUUGAAGAGAUGAAUAGGGAGGUCUUUUUAAUUUUUCAUUUCAAAUAUGUCAUACAUACCAUUUUUUCGAAGUUUACUAGAUUGUCAGUGAAUGUCUUGUUUCCCUCAUGAGUAAACGUCAUGUCUGUAUAGAAAUAAAAGACACAUGAAAGCCCAUUACUGAAUCAUGGCUAUGCAAAACAGCAGAACAUUUUAUCUAUUCCUUAAGAAAAUCAAAGCAGCUAUAAAAGUAAAACCUUUAGUUUUUAAUUUGCAGCAUUUCUGAGACUAGUAAAAUUGCUGAAUGAUAUUUAGAUGUACUAAAGCGGUUUUUCUUGUCUCUGUGUCAUGCUUUUCCUAAUGGAAAAAGAUCAUAUCUCACACAGAGAUUGAUUUUUGCUUUUUCUUGCUGCUACUCUUGUUCUUCAAAUAUUUGACAAAGAGCUUUCAAGUUAAUAAUUCUGGUAACAUCUAAGCUUACCUUUUAUAAGUAGUGGCAUGAAAGGAAUUAUUGGAGGGUCCAACUUAGCUACAGUUAGUCUGUAGGCCCUAUGGUUUCUUGAUGGAUCCUUAAGAAAAAAGAGAAAUCAAAUAAUUACUAAUAUGUGUUAUUAUUAUUAUAUAUUGUAUAUGUUUUCACUUAGAUGUCAUGGCAUUAAUUAAAAUCAUUCUUUUCUCCUGUGGCUUUAAAAGUGCAUUUGCAAACUUUUAUCGUUCUCCCAUACAGCUUACAUGGUGAGAAUGCAGCCACUAAACAAACCUUUUUCAUGCCAAAUAGCAAGGUAAGACAUGAUUACAAAAGAAUGGUUCAUAAAAGGAACCACACAUUUUCCCUCCCUCCCUGCAGCUGCAGAUCCAGUUUUGCAUAUAUUGCUACACUAAAAUGUAUUCCCUGGAAAAAUCCAGGUUGGAAAAUAUAAUUUCCUAUAUAUACUAUCAGAAAACAUGUGAUAAAGCUUUCCUGAGUUCCCAGAUUAACUUUGAGUGGUACAUAAGUUCUCUCAGAGUGGGUUCCUAAGAGUAUAAUUUAUUAGUCAUACAUACUUGUUUUAGCAGCUCUAAAAUGGGAUCAUAAACUUCUUAAAGUCAAACAAGGACACAUAAAAUGUUCUGAAUCAAGGAAUUCAAAUCAGUUGCUCAGAAACUGAAUUAGCUCAGAUUGUGCAUAGAAUAAGGGAUCUAUUGGUAUUCACCAUUAAGCUCUCAAACUCUGCAUAGAUCUUCUUGAACUUGCUUGGAAGUUUCUGUUAAUAAAAACAAAAAUAGCAAACCUUAAUUAAAUUCAAUUUGUGUGGUAAUUUUACUGUAAAUGCUAGUUCCUUCUACGACGCCCUAAGUCAGGAAAGUGCUCUUUUUGCCAGAUAUGUCUAACAAUGUGUUAAUCUAAAAUACAACAGGUCUCCUAGCAACCAGAUUAUAAAUAGAGACAGGACCAGCCAUGAAACCUGGAUCCUGAUUUAAACCCCACCUUGAAUUUACUCCUUUGGGAUGUUUAGGUUCAGAUUUUUGUUUGGCUCACAUCACGAUCACUGAAUUCAGAAUGUAAGCGAAAGUUCAAGUCAAUGGUUUCAGGACAUUCCUGAUUAUAGCCUACCUGAAAAUAUAAUUUACACACAGCUUGCAUAGGGGUAGCUCGGCUUAAUUAUUCAUACAUAUAAUGAACUGCCCUUGCAACAUCCAAAUCCAUGCCUGGGCAUUUCCAGGUUGUGGGGUUUUUUUGUUUGUUUGUAUGGUUUUUUGUUCAUGCUGAUGUAUCACCAACUGUUGUUCAAAAUCUGGACAUGCCCAGCAGCCAAGGGCCUCUACCGCUUUCUAGGGUAUAAAUUAAUGAACAGUUUUUCUGUCCAUAAUAUCUACACAAAUAAAUCAUGGCCAGUUGAUCAUGCAGUGAUUGGGAUGAGAUGGGCUUUACUAAAUAUUUUCUUUCCUCCUCAUGUUAUGUUACACAAAUUAAAUAAUUUCCCUGUAAAGACUGUGUAUUAUAAAUUAGUUUCAGAGAUCACAGUAAUGUUUUAUGCACUCUCAGAAUAUGUCAGCUUCCUAGUUUUAGUAAGAAAUUUCUCUAUAUUUGCUGAUUAAAUCAGUCUACUAUUGGCAGCAGGUAACAUUAAAAAUUAAUAGAGACUUCAUAGUGCAGAAAUGAUUUUUUGCAAUACUUUCUACAUUUGGAGUGUGUACCCUAGCAAGAUAUUUACACUGUGCCACAGCAAGGGCCUAAUUUUUAAUGAUGUGUGUGAACAACUGUGUGCCUAGUUUGCAUAUGCAUGCAGAUUAGGUAUUUGUGAAAUAAGUGGUAUAAUUGGACAUUUGCACCUGCAAAUACCUAAUUUGUGCAUGCAACUAAUGUAAAUGCAUGAUAAUAUAGCAAAAAUCAGGUCUUGAUAUGUUUGUUUUUAAGUAUAUUCUAGAUGUAUAUCUGGCUAAAAAUCAAGCAGAAGAGAUUCUCUUGAUAAACUGACUGACCUACAGAACCAGAGUGCAAUAACAUUUCCCUGAACUACACCUACUAAUGAUUUGUGCCCCUUCAGCUCACACCCUGUGCCCAUUUCAGAUUACUGUAUGUAGCAUAUACAUUCAGUUCCUCUUCUUUCUUCAUAGUACCCCUCUACUGUCUCCACUCUCCCCACUAUUCCCCUCAGUAGCCACAAAUGAGGAGUCAUUCAUUUGAGAACCUGAUCUGCACCGAUUGUAUACACCGCUUGCAACAGGUACUUUUGAAGGCUGGGCUGAUGUCUCCUCAGAUGUGUUAGUCUGAUCUGUCUCAGAGCACUUUUUUGAAGAUGUUCAAAUUUUGGUCUCAG
This is a long non-coding RNA of Columba livia (rock pigeon), 10173 nucleotides long. RefSeq lists it as uncharacterized. The transcript has 4 exons. The record is from RefSeq and is a predicted model, not a curated record. Lineage: Eukaryota; Metazoa; Chordata; Aves; Columbiformes; Columbidae.